UGGGGAAUAUUGGACAAUGGGCGCAAGCCUGAUCCAGCCAUGCCGCGUGUGUGAAGAAGGCCUUUUGGUUGUAAAGCACUUUACGCGAGGAGGAGGCUACUUGGAUUAAUACUCUAGGAAAGUGGACGUUACUCGCAGAAUAAGCACCGGCUAACUCUGUGCCAGCAGCCGCGGUAAUACAGAGGGUGCGAGCGUUAAUCGGAUUUACUGGGCGUAAAGCGUGCGUAGGCGGCUUUUUAAGUCGGAUGCGAAAUCCCUGAGCUUAACUUAGGAAUUGCAUUCGAUACUGGGAAGCUAGAGUAUGGGAGAGGAUGGUAGAAUGCCAGGUGUAGCGGUGAAAUGCGUAGAGAUCUGGAGGAAUACCGAUGACGAAGGCAGCCAUCUGGCCUAAUACUGACGCUGAGGUACGAAGGCAUGGGGGGCAAACAGG
RNAcentral lists this ribosomal RNA (430 nucleotides) under Bacillota bacterium. Its description in RNAcentral is "Firmicutes bacterium partial 16S ribosomal RNA". It matches the Rfam family "Bacterial small subunit ribosomal RNA", at positions 355 to 776 of the family's 1533-position model. The record is from RNAcentral. Lineage: Bacteria; Bacillati; Bacillota.